RNAcentral lists this long non-coding RNA (992 nucleotides) under Mus musculus (house mouse). RNAcentral describes it as "dynamin 3, opposite strand". Lineage: Eukaryota; Metazoa; Chordata; Mammalia; Rodentia; Muridae. The record is from RNAcentral.
UUUUUAAUUUCAAGAAGAAUAACCUUUCUUCACAGGUCCCUUCCCUAUUUCUCCCAUGGGACAGUUUUUAGUCUGAAGAUACAAAGGGCAUAAGGGUGAUUCUCCUGUAAGUUCAACAGUAAAAAGUAACAAUUUCUUUGUAAACCCGGAGUCUCUGCCUGUUCUUGGUUGGAGUUCUAACACACCAUUUUCAAGGAAAAUUCUAAAUGAAUGAAGGAGUGUGGUACUUAAUUUUAAAUGUAUGAGUUAUAUUAAAAGUACAAAAAAGUUGUUUGAUAACCCUCUGCUGUAUGAAGACAUGGUGUUAAGCCUGUGUGCUGGUGGAUAUAUCCCUUAUAGACACUUUAGGAUAAAAAUAAAGAUAUCGAUUCCAAAAUAAUUAGAAGAAUGUCUAAUUUUAUUCCAAUAUUACUUCCAAAGAGGAUAUACAAAUAUUUUAGGGAUGGUGGAAUCUAGGGCAGAAGAGAGUAACCAGCAGCAAACAUCUUGCUCUGGAUAGUAUGGCUGUACCGUUCCUUUACUUGAGCAGAGUAAACUGGAUCAGAUUACUUAAGGGAGAGGGGAAAGCAAUACAGAAUUAUAGUAACUUUUAAUGGCUGCUAAUAUAUUCUUCGUAAGUGAAUCACUCUAUUAUGCUUUUCUGUUGUACUGAAUGAAACAACAAAGGAAAUAGUAUUUCAAGGUAUUCCAUUUUUGUAUACUUGACUUUGUAACUACUUGAAUAGCAGCCAAGCUCUUGUGCUCUGAAGUGUUGGACAGAAGCACACGUUUAUCUUCUUGAACUUAAAGAAGUCCAGAUAUAGUUGCACUUAUCAACUCGGUUAAAAGGAUACCAUCUCUAGGCACUGCACAAAAGUUCAAAUGUGCAGCAAACUGUUCUUUUUCUCAUUCUCAAAAAAGAUUUUAUUGUUCAUAAAACUUCUGCCUGCAUUUUUUUUUCUUUUUAGGUUUUCCAAUUAAAGGUAAAUAAGGAAGUAUUUGUUUUCUUUAAA